Molecule: ribosomal RNA, 497 nt
Filed under: uncultured bacterium
Lineage: Bacteria
Description: partial 16S ribosomal RNA
Rfam family: Bacterial small subunit ribosomal RNA
Source: RNAcentral
GAUGAACGCUGGCGGCGUGCCUAAUACAUGCAAGUCGAGCGAACGGACGAGAAGCUUGCUUUUCUGAUGUUAGCGGCGGACGGGUGAGUAACUCGUGGAUAACCUACCUAUAAGACUGGGAUAACUUCGGGAAACCGGAGCUAAUACCGGAUAAUAUUUUGAACCGCAUGGUUCAAAAGUGAAAGACGGUCUUGCUGUCACUUAUAGAUGGAUCCGCGCUGCAUUAGCUAGUUGGUAAGGUAACGGCUUACCAAGGCAACGAUGCAUAGCCGACCUGAGAGGGUGAUCGGCCACACUGGAACUGAGACACGGUCCAGACUCCUACGGGAGGCAGCAGUAGGGAAUCUUCCGCAAUGGGCGAAAGCCUGACGGAGCAACGCCGCGUGAGUGAUGAAGGUCUUCGGAUCGUAAAACUCUGUUAUUAGGGAAGAACAUAUGUGUAAGUAACUGUGCACAUCUUGACGGUACCUAAUCAGAAAGCCACGGCUAACUACGUG